This 194-nucleotide ribosomal RNA is filed under the name uncultured bacterium. Its description in RNAcentral is "partial 16S ribosomal RNA". It matches the Rfam family "Bacterial small subunit ribosomal RNA", at positions 338 to 524 of the family's 1533-position model. The record is from RNAcentral.
CCUACGGGAGGCAGCAGUGGGGAAUUUUGGACAAUGGGCGCAAGCCUGAUCCAGCAAUGCCGCGUGCAGGAUGAAGGCCUUCGGGUUGUAAACUGCUUUUGUACGGAACGAAACAGCUCUUUCUAAUACAAGGAGCGAAUGACGGUACCGUAAGAAUAAGCACCGGCUAACUACGUGCCAGCAGCCGCGGUAAU